GCGUGAGUGAUGAAGGCCUUAGGGUCGUAAAGCUCUUUCGCCUGUGAAGAUAAUGACGGUAGCAGGUAAAGAAACCCCGGCUAACUCCGUGCCAGCAGCCGCGGUAAUACGGAGGGGGUUAGCGUUGUUCGGAAUUACUGGGCGUAAAGCGCGCGUAGGCGGACUGGAAAGUUGGGGGUGAAAUCCCGGGGCUCAACCCCGGAACGGCCUCCAAAACUAUCAGUCUAGAGUUCGAGAGAGGUGAGUGGAAUUCCGAGUGUAGAGGUGAAAUUCGU
RNAcentral lists this ribosomal RNA (275 nucleotides) under uncultured bacterium. Its description in RNAcentral is "partial 16S ribosomal RNA". It matches the Rfam family "Bacterial small subunit ribosomal RNA", at positions 399 to 691 of the family's 1533-position model. The record is from RNAcentral.